This 468-nucleotide ribosomal RNA is filed under the name uncultured bacterium. RNAcentral's name for it is "partial 16S ribosomal RNA". It matches the Rfam family "Bacterial small subunit ribosomal RNA", at positions 28 to 507 of the family's 1533-position model. The record is from RNAcentral.
GACGAACGCUGGCGGCGUGCUUAACACAUGCAAGUCGAACGGAAGGGCCCUGCUUUUGUGGGGUGCUCGAGUGGCGAACGGGUGAGUAACACGUGAGUAACCUGCCCUUGACUUUGGGAUAACUUCAGGAAACUGGGGCUAAUACCGGAUAGGAGCUCCUGCUGCAUGGUGGGGGUUGGAAGGUUUCGGCGGUUGGGGAUGGACUCGCGGCUUAUCAGCUUGUUGGUGGGGUAGUGGCUUACCAAGGCUUUGACGGGUAGCCGGCCUGAGAGGGUGACCGGCCACAUUGGGACUGAGAUACGGCCCAGACUCCUACGGGAGGCAGCAGUGGGGAAUAUUGCACAAUGGGCGGAAGCCUGAUGCAGCAACGCCGCGUGCGGGAUGACGGCCUUCGGGUUGUAAACCGCCUUCGCCUGUGACGAAGCGUGAGUGACGGUAAUGGGUAAAGAAGCACCGGCUAACUACGUG